Molecule: ribosomal RNA, 177 nt
Filed under: Triticum aestivum (bread wheat)
Lineage: Eukaryota; Viridiplantae; Streptophyta; Magnoliopsida; Poales; Poaceae
Description: partial small subunit ribosomal RNA
Source: RNAcentral
CUCGCGCAGAUCCGCGAGCUGGUCAAGCCGCCGCUGCGCCACCCCAAGCUGUUCGGGACGCUCGGCGUCAAGCCCCCCAAGGGGCUCCUGCUGUUCGGCCCGGCCGGCACCGGCAAGGCGCUGCUCUCGCGCGGCAUCGCCUCCUAGUCGGGCGCCAACUUCAUUGUCGUCAUCGGG